Zingiber officinale is the source of this 1402-nucleotide long non-coding RNA. RefSeq lists it as uncharacterized. NCBI's taxonomy places the organism in Eukaryota, Viridiplantae, Streptophyta, Magnoliopsida, Zingiberales, Zingiberaceae. The record is from RefSeq and is a predicted model, not a curated record. The transcript has 2 exons.
GGAUUCUCAACUCAAUUAUUGUUAUUUCUUAUUUCUCAUCUCCUAACAGUCCACCUCCGAAUUCUUGUAUAUAUUAUCUUUUGUAAUCGCCCAACCACUACAGGAUCGCAGAGAACGUGCGAAGAAACUAUCAGAAAAUUGAGUUGUAUAUGAUCGAUCGUGACUUAUUCAUGGAAGAUUCAAACUCUGCUACGCAAGAGCCAUGUCAAUUUCAAAUUGAUGCUUAAUUUGUUCAAUUCACGCAAGGUGGGUGGCUAGUUCGUCGCUGACAAGAAUGCAGAUGGGAAGAGAAGAAGACUGACCGUAUUUGAGCGGGUUGAUGGCGAAAUCGAAGAUUUGGGAGUAGUAGUCGGCGUAUCGGAUGGAUAUGGCCGGAUUCUUUCGCCGGAGGUCGUCGAGGGUUCGCCGGAGCUGUGUGUUGUGCAGCCAGGAGAGGGCGUUGUAUCUGCGGGAGCAGCCGGUCCUGGGGCCGUAGUCUUGCGGGUCGGGCGUGUGGUAGUUGGACAGGUACAAGGGGAAGCACCCCACCGGCAGCAGCCCCGGCACGAUGAUGUCCGCCGCCCCGAGCCCGAUCAACCUCUGCUUGCGACCCCAUUUUUUCAGUUAAUUCUGAGCUUCUAUGGUCUAGAUGAUUAAUUCAAAUAUAAUUACCUCGACGCCGUCGGAAAUGGCGCGGACGACGUGAGGCACGAAGGUGGUGACUUCGUCAACGGACCUCCCGAAGAAGAGAGCAGUGCUGUAGUCGUUUCCCCCGAACUCGCCCACCACGAACAGAGACUUGCCCAGGAAAUCCUUGCAGUCUGCCGCCGGCCGCCGGCGUCGUCAUGAACGUCCGUAACCAUUAAUUAACUUCAGGGAGCUAGCUCAGAGUGAACAUCAAGCUGCAGAAUGAAGCUAACGGAGCACGCACCUUGUGUGGAGCCGCAGAUGGAGGGGAGGAGCUUCUCGAAGCGGUCGACCUGGAUGUAAAUGGAGGCGUUGACCCACAGGCCCUUGCUCAGCCCUCGCUCGUUGAAGAAGUCGAAGCCGAGCACGGUGGCCGCCACCCAGGCGAAGUUCGCGCCCUUGCUGAAAUUCGACUCCCUCUCGUUCGACGGCGGCAGCAAUGGAAAUCCCAGGUCCUGAGCUGCCAAAUUCCCAACACAUAUGCUAAUUAAUUAAUUAAUUAAUCAAGAGUAGCUAUCGAAUUUUUCGAUCGUGCUGCGUGCGUACCGAUGAAGUCGAUGACUAAGCGUCCGUCGGAGCAGCGUCCGGUGGCGCGGCCGAAGAAGGUCAUUCCGUAGGGGAGGCGGCCGAUGCGGACGUUGCCGGUGUCGGACAUCGAGUCUCCGAAGUUGAACAAGGCGUUGUACUGAUGAGACGAGGAAGGAAGGAGGAAGGCGGAGAGGAGGAGGAGGAUGAA